CUCACGGGCCGGUCCGAGCCUCCUGCCCUCCCCGCCAGGCCCGCUCCCCCGCAGGGCCUGCUGCCCACCUGUGCUCUCCACCCACACCACACCCGCACAUCCCUCGUGGCCCGACAGGUCCUUGAAGCCCACCCAAGACCCCCAUUGGCCCCAGCAGCCCAGAUCCACAAACAAGCAAACAAACAAGCAAACAAACAAACAAACAAACAAACAAACAAACAAAGGCUGCCUCGGAUCACCUGAACCAGAGCUUGGAAAAACCCGCGGGAGGAUCGUUUGGGUUUCGUUGUUUGCAAAGGCUGGCGGGCUGGGGGGGGGGGCGGACGGUGGCACCCCAUGCCCGAGACGGCCCCGUCAGGUCGCUGGCGCUGACUUGAAGCCUGGGAGGAUAGCCUCUUUCUGCACAGGGAACUGACUCGGGUUUGGAGCCCGCAGCUGAGGGCGCUGGGCGUGUGUCCUCAAUCCUCCUGCGGUCAGCAAUGCAGUGGCUUCGUCUGCUUUGAGUCGGAGGUCGAUUCUUACGAUUAAAGUCGAGCUGAUGUCCAAUGUUUCCUCCAGUGGGUCUCUUGACUCUGUCGAGGAGGGAGGCCUUCAGCCACCGGGGCCUCACGGGGCCUACCCGUGCGGCACCAUCACAGAGCUCUCCGUCACUGCCCCUUGUGGGGGUGAGGGAAGGGGCGUGUUUGGGGGUGGGGGGUGUGUGCGCGCGCGCGUGCACGCACGCUGGCGGGCGGGUGUCCCGGGGCCUGGCCAGCCCUCCGCUAUCAGCACGCAUGGAUGCUGACGUGAGGACCAGCAGGGUGACAAGAGAGGCUGCCUGGUGGGUGACCGCGCUGGGCAGAGCCACAACCCGCUCGCCUUUCAGUUCUCCACCCAGGGGCCCCUCCUGCGAGCCACCCAUAGGGGUCCCUGGUCCCUCCCUCAGACGUCGUCUCUCCACCACGGCCCGAGAUCAUCUUUCUUCUCCAGUGGGUUCCUUGUCUUGCGUACCACCCUCUCCACCCCCCACCCCCACCCCCACCCCACCCGGCUUGCC
This 1036-nucleotide long non-coding RNA is filed under the name Sus scrofa (pig). Its description in RNAcentral is "lncRNA (ENSSSCG00070022621.1)". Lineage: Eukaryota; Metazoa; Chordata; Mammalia; Artiodactyla; Suidae. The record is from RNAcentral.